This 217-nucleotide long non-coding RNA is filed under the name Cicer arietinum (chickpea). Its description in RNAcentral is "long non-coding RNA (CARI_LNC003127)". The record is from RNAcentral. Lineage: Eukaryota; Viridiplantae; Streptophyta; Magnoliopsida; Fabales; Fabaceae.
GAAAACACGUUGUCCGAAAUUGGGGAGAGCACAUAAGAAGAAUUUUAGGGGGCCAUCGUCCAAUGUUGUUGCUUCUGCUCCUCCUACCGUUGACUCUAGUUCUGGUUCUGUAUACUCAUCUGAGAGUGCUUCCCAAAUAUCUGAUAUUGCAGAACAACUUCAAAGACUUCUUGCCACUCAAUCACAUGCCAUGUCUGCCACCUCUUCUAAAGGUUUG